Molecule: long non-coding RNA, 1237 nt
Organism: Cannabis sativa
Lineage: Eukaryota; Viridiplantae; Streptophyta; Magnoliopsida; Rosales; Cannabaceae
Exons: 7
Source: RefSeq, a predicted model, not a curated record
UUGUAUGGUUUUAUGCACUAACACUGCCUUUUAAUUAAUUCAGAUAUUACGAAUUGGAUUCGCAACAUCGAACAGCAUGGGGAUAAUGUCAAAAAGAUCCUGGUAGGAAACAAGGCUGAUAUGGAUGAAAGUAGAAGGGUUUUUCAUUCCAAUUUUCAGUUGAGGGACAAAGGGAGAUGAAGAAUGCAAUAUUAACUUAAUAAUUUUCUCAAAGAAUAUAUUUUAGUCUCAUCUAUUGGAUUGAUUCUCUAGGACCAGACAAAUAUGGCAAAUUCGCACCGCAGUGGAUUGAUUAAAAGAUCAAGUGAUGGUGCAAAUCUGAAUCGCAUGGGUGUGACCAAUACUGUGGUCUGCAACUAUGAUGGAAAGGAGGAAUGAUUUUUGCAAAUGAGAUGAAGGUGCCAAGGCUCAAGUCACUCACUGCAAAUCUGAAUCGCAUGGGUGUGACCAAUACUGUGGUCUGCAACUAUGAUGGAAAGGAGCUACCUAAAGUUUUGGGUAUCAACGCUGUUGAUAGAGUGUUAUUGGAUGCUCCUUGUAGUGGGACAGGGGUAAGUAGCUGCAUUAUGUGACAAUAGAUUUCUCUGUUUAGCCAAUUACCUUGUUUUUCUCUUGAGUAAACUAAAUCAGUUGUAUUUUGCAGGUUAUAUCAAAAGAUGAGUCUGUUAAAAUUACUAAAAGCUUAGAUGAGUCGAUAAAAGCUUAGAUGAGUCUUUAUAUUAGGAAUUUUUUAUUUAUGUUCAUAUUCUUUUGGUUUUGGUUCAGAUUUAUUUGAUGGGUUCUUAUUGAUACUAGUGUUUAGGUUAGUCUUUCUCAGAAAUGGUGACUUUCAGGUUUCAUCAGUACCAGGUUGUGGGAAGGGCUCUCCCUACUGAGUCAAAUGACCAUCCUAAGAUUUACAAGAUGAAGCUUUGGGCCACCAAUGAAGUCCGUGCCAAGUCCAAGUUUUGUUUCUGCUUAGGUAUUUUCUGAGGAAGUUAAUGAAGGUGAAGAAGACCAAUGGACAAGUUCUUGCUAUCAAUGAGUACUUGAUGAAGGUGGAAUAAUUCAAGUGGAUUAUCAUGUUGGAUUCAACAGUUUCUACCUCUGCAUAAUUACAGUAGCACGCUGAUGUUAGUGAUGCAAGUUGGUGGCCAACCUGGAGACUCUUCUAUAAGCAAUUUUAUUUUUAACACAUGUAUUAAAUAUUUAGGUUAAUAUACCAAUAAUAAGAUUUUAUCAAAUAGUAAUUACAUUA